GCUGGAGUGGCGGAAUGGUAUACGCGUCGGUCUCAAAAACCGAUGUUCUAACGGGCGUGUGGGUUCGAUUCCCACCUCCAGCA
This 83-nucleotide transfer RNA is filed under the name Candidatus Omnitrophota bacterium. RNAcentral describes it as "Candidatus Omnitrophica bacterium (sediment metagenome) tRNA-Leu". It matches the Rfam family "tRNA". From Rfam's summary of the family: Transfer RNA (tRNA) molecules are approximately 80 nucleotides in length. Their secondary structure includes four short double-helical elements and three loops (D, anti-codon, and T loops). Further hydrogen bonds mediate the characteristic L-shaped molecular structure. tRNAs have two regions of fundamental functional importance: the anti-codon, which is responsible for specific mRNA codon recognition, and the 3' end, to which the tRNAs corresponding amino acid is attached (by aminoacyl-tRNA synthetases). tRNAs cope with the degeneracy of the genetic code in two manners: having more than one tRNA (with a specific anti-codon) for a particular amino acid; and 'wobble' base-pairing, i.e. permitting non-standard base-pairing at the 3rd anti-codon position. The record is from RNAcentral. Lineage: Bacteria; Pseudomonadati; Candidatus Omnitrophota.